This 301-nucleotide ribosomal RNA is filed under the name uncultured bacterium. Its description in RNAcentral is "partial 16S ribosomal RNA". It matches the Rfam family "Bacterial small subunit ribosomal RNA", at positions 509 to 807 of the family's 1533-position model. The record is from RNAcentral.
CAGUAGCCGCGGGAAUACGAAGGGGGCUAGCGUUGCUCGGAAUGACUGGGCGCAAAGGGCGCGUAGGCGGAUUGCGCAGUCAGAUGUGAAAUUCCUGGGCUUAACCUGGGGGCUGCAUUUGAGACGCGUAGUCUAGAGUGUGAAAGAGGGUCGUGGAAUUCCCAGUGUAGAGGUGAAAUUCGUAGAUAUUGGGAAGAACACCGGUGGCGAAGGCGGCGACCUGGUUCAUAACUGACGCUGAGGCGCGAAAGCAUGGGGAGCAAGCAGGAUUAGAUACCCCAGUAGUCCCUGUCUCUUAUAC